Molecule: ribosomal RNA, 463 nt
Filed under: Cladosporium cladosporioides
Lineage: Eukaryota; Fungi; Ascomycota; Dothideomycetes; Cladosporiales; Cladosporiaceae
Description: eukaryotic LSU rRNA
Rfam family: 5.8S ribosomal RNA (bases 112-265)
Source: RNAcentral
GUCCGACUCUGUUGCCUCCGGGGCGACCCUGCCUUCGGGCGGGGGCUCCGGGUGGACACUUCAAACUCUUGCGUAACUUUGCAGUCUGAGUAAACUUAAUUAAUAAAUUAAAACUUUUAACAACGGAUCUCUUGGUUCUGGCAUCGAUGAAGAACGCAGCGAAAUGCGAUAAGUAAUGUGAAUUGCAGAAUUCAGUGAAUCAUCGAAUCUUUGAACGCACAUUGCGCCCCCUGGUAUUCCGGGGGGCAUGCCUGUUCGAGCGUCAUUUCACCACUCAAGCCUCGCUUGGUAUUGGGCAACGCGGUCCGCCGCGUGCCUCAAAUCGACCGGCUGGGUCUUCUGUCCCCUAAGCGUUGUGGAAACUAUUCGCUAAAGGGUGUUCGGGAGGCUACGCCGUAAAACAACCCCAUUUCUAAGGUUGACCUCGGAUCAGGUAGGGAUACCCGCUGAACUUAAGCAUAUC